This is a long non-coding RNA of Rhinichthys klamathensis goyatoka, 405 nucleotides long. RefSeq lists it as uncharacterized. The transcript has 4 exons. Lineage: Eukaryota; Metazoa; Chordata; Actinopteri; Cypriniformes; Leuciscidae. The record is from RefSeq and is a predicted model, not a curated record.
CUCUGUCACAGUUGUAAGUGAUUAUUGUCUUUAGGUUUCUGUUUGCUAGACCAAGCAUCCUUCCUUAUUUUCACUGUAGGAUGAUGAUGAAGAGACCACUUCUGCUGUGACAGAAACAGAAAAUGUGGGGAGGCCCAUAGAGAAUAUGGCAGGAGAUUUUAAUACAGAUGAGGGUCCAUCUACCUCCACACAGAAUCUUAGCAGUUUGCCUGCCAAAAAGCUGUAUAAGGUCCACCUUUAAAAGCAAAUCAGAAAAAGUGACAUGGAGAUGGACCUUAUACAGCUUCAAAUGGAGGAGAAAAGGCUUAACCUAAAAAAGGCCAGACUUGAAAUUGAAUUGCUGGAGCACCAGCUUAAGGAAAUAAAGAAACAAUGAACAACACUUGACUGUUAACUGGUUUUAAU